ACCUGCAAGUGUGGUGGUUGUG
Molecule: non-coding RNA, 22 nt
Filed under: Arabidopsis thaliana (thale cress)
Lineage: Eukaryota; Viridiplantae; Streptophyta; Magnoliopsida; Brassicales; Brassicaceae
Source: RNAcentral